RNAcentral lists this microRNA precursor (92 nucleotides) under Pelobates cultripes (western spadefoot toad). Lineage: Eukaryota; Metazoa; Chordata; Amphibia; Anura; Pelobatidae. The record is from RNAcentral.
GUGUGUGUGUGUGUUUGUUAGUGUGUGUGUGUGUGUUAGAGUGUGUUAACACACACUGACACACACACACACACACUCUAACACACACACAC